This 3747-nucleotide long non-coding RNA is filed under the name Sus scrofa (pig). RNAcentral's name for it is "lncRNA (ENSSSCG00050035192.1, ENSSSCG00060047410.1)". The record is from RNAcentral. Lineage: Eukaryota; Metazoa; Chordata; Mammalia; Artiodactyla; Suidae.
ACGGGAAGUCCCUCCCCGACGGCUGCGCCACAUCCCGGGAGGCUGUAGCUCUGCGGGUCCGUGCUGGGCGCGAUGGCGGACUGGGCUCGGGGUGAGCAUUGGGGAGCGGAGGCAGGUGGCGGCGGUGCUGGAACCGAUGCCGCUGCCUGCAGGAGUCGCUUUCGCCCGCCCCCGCCUCUCUGGGUGGCUUUGGCCGGCAGACACUGAGAACAGGCGGAGCCAGGGCGGCGUGGGUGGGGCCCUCGGGCGGUCUUGCCCGGCUUCUCGGUGAAGCUGCGGGGUCCGGAUGUCCGCUGUCCCCACCCCUUCCGCCCUCGUGAGACUGUUCUGCACGGGACCUCAGCCAGACGGGCUGGUCGACUGUUCCGGAGGCCAGCCCCAAGGAGUGAGGGCUGCGCGUGAUGGCCCAAGAAGGCCUCGUACCGACUGGGACUGGGAGUGGCCCACUUGCCCUCUGGGAACCCCUGUUCUUAUCUGCGAAGUGGGAUGCUGAUGCUUGUUUCCGCUGGGCUUGCGGCAUUUACAGAUUUAAUGGAUGAAAGCGGUUGGUAGGAUGCUAACAUCUCGUGGCAUCUUUACACAUCCAUGAUUUCUAGGGUUGUGAUCCUAUUAGAUGAGCCUCCCUGAGACAUCUGGCCCACGGCAAAUCUGGCCUGUGAACUUGGGGAGGCAGUUCUCAUCUACUUGAUAGGAUGGUUAUACCAAGUCAAGUCAUAAGUCCCAGCCCCUGUCCUGGGCCAGGUCUCAGCAACCACUGCUCUGGGUGUUGUGUAAGGCUCUGUGUAGGAUGCAGAGCUGAGCAGAUCUAUGCCCUGCUCGUGAGAUCGACCUCCCCUUCUGUUCAUGACUUUUUCCUAAGUCCUUGCCAGAGUUUACUGGUUUUCUCUGAGAACAGGUCCCCUCUACGUCGCUGGUGACAUCUGGGCUGACAUACCAGUCCAUCCAGAGGGGAUGGUACAGGUUUUGUCACAGAGUAUCAGAAGGUGCUGCCCACCCAUCCGGGCUUGGAUGCCUACACAGAACAAGUGCUCUCGCACGCUGUCCUUCACGCGGCUGUCUCGUGUGUGAAGUUCACGCUUUGGACCCUGGGUUAGGGCAGGACCUGUUCAGCAGACACAGGAAAGCCCAGUCCCCCUGGACUAGAUGGAAUUGGAGUGAGAGCCCUGAGGGCAGAGGUCAAGAGGGUGCGCGUGGGUGGGUGCACACUCUCACCCCCUCUCUGUCUCUUCUCACAGCUCAGAGCCCCGGCGCUGUGGAGGAGAUUCUAGACCGGGAGAACAAGCGGAUGGCGGACACCUUGGCCUCCAAGGUCACCAGGCUCAAGUCGCUGGCCUUGGACAUUGAUAGGGAUGUGGAGGACCAGAACCGGUACCUGGACGGCAUGGACUCGGAUUUCACGAGUGUGACGGGCCUCCUCACGGGGAGUGUGAAGCGCUUUUCCACAAUGGCGAGAUCUGGGCGAGACAACCGGAAGCUUCUCUGUGGUGUGGCCAUGGGCCUGAUCGUGGUCUUCUUCAUCCUCUCCUACCUCCUGUCAAGGGCAAGGACGUGAGCCAGUGGGAACUGGUUUCUGUAGGUACCUGGGACAACCAGGGUCUUCCUCUGCCUUGUGUCCUGGGCUCCAGAAGAUCUACCUACAAAAUACCCCUUCGAAGUGAUGAGCAUGGCUUAGGAAUCUUUUUCCUGUGUGGCUGGGAGCCUCUGACCCAGUAAGCUCAUGUUAGCUGGUCCCAUGUGUGCAAGGGGCCCAUCCCCAUUGGGUAACCAAGGCCCAGCUUCCUCUGCCAUCUUGGGUGCUAGAAGCCCUAGCAGAGCCAGGUUGGAGCAGAGCAGCUGGGAAUCCUGGACGUGACCACCUGUGACCAGCAGCCCUUCCCCCAGCCCUCAGGGUUCUGAUGUAUUGAGGCUUCUCUGCUUGGUCUUGGUCUGGAUAAGGCCACGUCUGGUAUUCGAGGUGCCCAGAGCCGACACAGGAAGGGGUGCGACUGUGAACCUCGAAUCAUUGCUGUCACUUUCAGCCAAGGGUCCUCAAACCAGAGAUGGCCGUUGCUCCUGGCCAGGGCUGCCGGGCACUGGUGGACCAGCAAGAGUCAAGGGUCCUGCCGAGAGGUGUCUGCCUGCCGUCCAACCCCAUGGCUGGAGCCCGACCCUCAGGGAAGGGCAGUGGCCAUGCGUGGAGAAGUGAACUGCAGCAUUGGCUGAAGACGCGGGCCCAGGUCCUCCUGGUCUCCCUGUGUCCAGGAGCAGAAACUGACCUUUUCUCAGGAUUCAGGGUCUGUCCAGCACCGAGACACGUUUCCAGGAGCCCAGAUCUCUAGAAAGAGGCUCAUCUGGCAUGUCAGAGUCAGGCAGGGUGUGAGCAGGGGCCUCUGUGGGUACAGCCUGGAGGCUUCCAGGUAACAGCUUUUCAUAGGAUCUGUAGGUCGCUUUUUGAGGGUCCGCGGACAGUUUCCACCGAGUCUGGCCCUUCCACCUACAGUAUCUGCCUAUCUCUCCUUGGGCCCUCAGUGCCCACUGGUCAGUCUCCUGCUCACACAAGGUGAACUGCAGUUUCUUCCAAACCAAUGGGUCUUUCUACCCCACUGUGAGAUCUCAGUGUCUUCCCAUGAAAACACCUGUAAGAAACGAGUCAUCAGCUCUGUCCUUCCCGUCUUUUGUUCCAGUUCUCUGUCUUCCUGGUCACUCCCCUUCACUCUCUGAGGGCUACCGGCUCACCGGCCAUCUUCACACAUACACAUGUGGUCAUAUGUCAGCCACAGCCUGUGCCUCUCGACUCCUGCCACCCCACCCUGCUCUGGUCUCUGGCCCUGGGCACCUCACCUUCUGGCCCUGCUGCUCCUGCUCCUCCUCUCUCUCUCCUUUGUUCUCCACCGAGCAGGCCUGGCUUGUCUCACACUCACCGUAAUGCCCUUCUCUUUUCCACUGCGCCUGGUUGGGCCUCAGCCUUCUGGAAGGGGAGCGUGCUACCUUCUCAUUUCCGAGUGCUCUGUUCUUACUGCCUCCAUCCCUCCAGUGUGUGCUUGUUUCUCACUCGGUGAGGUCCGCUUCCUUGCCUCCAUGGCUUCGACUCAGCCGUCAGCUCAUCUCAUGUUGAAAUUUGUCACAGGGACGUGCCUACUGUUCAUGAAGCUCAGCAGCUGCUGCCGUGUCGUGUUUCCAUCGGGUCACCACAGGCACGGCAGACACAUCAGACCUGAGUGUGGCAGCCGCCUGUUCUGGGCCUGCUAACCUGGCUUCCUGAGAAUAUGGCUCAGCCAUGGCUGUUGCUCCCCCCAGGAUGCUCUUACCUGCUGUGCCCACUCGUCUUGCCAGUGCAGACCAGGAAUUGAGGAUUUGCCUUUCAGAAUGACUGUCUCAAGAAGUGCUCUGCCCCCUCCGAGACCUCUGGUUGCUGUGUUCUCUCCUUGGGUCCCCACCUCUGCCUCCCCACUUCAUUUCCAUGGCUCUUGGCAGCUCUUCCAGCUAUUUUGGGGUCUGGGUUUUUGUCUCUGUCUGGUUUACUUUUUUGUUGCAUUAGGCUGAGUUCCUGAAUGCUGCUGCCACCACGUCGGCAGGGUUUUCUGUGGGGCCUGCACCCUUCUGCUCAGCCCUGUGCACUCAGCACCUCCUCCUGUGGAUAAGUGGGGUUUGCUAAGUGGCCCUUCAGACUAAAACAGAAGAGGCCUUGGAGUCCUCUGUGCCAAGGGAGGGCCCCAAGUCAAGGACAAGGCAUUUGGUCAUAAAAACUUGGAAUAAACAGAUUCUCGA